This is a long non-coding RNA of Nannospalax galili (Upper Galilee mountains blind mole rat), 253 nucleotides long. RefSeq lists it as uncharacterized. The transcript has 3 exons. The record is from RefSeq and is a predicted model, not a curated record. NCBI's taxonomy places the organism in Eukaryota, Metazoa, Chordata, Mammalia, Rodentia, Spalacidae.
UUGUAACUUAAGCUACAUGUAGCCAAAGUGGAUUUGAGGAUGGGAAGGAGAGAGGAAAAACGGUUUUCUGAUGUUGGGAUGACAGCUCAAGAAAACUCAUUCUGGAUAAUUAAUUAUGAGAGUUCUCUUUGAAAGACUCUGUGCCAGUCACCUAUCUGCUGUUGUGUCAAAAUACUCGAGGACAUUUGUCCCAGGCUACAGCUCCCUGGUCUCACAGGGCUCCAAGAUUGCUUUGGAGAAACUUCAUUCACAG